This is a long non-coding RNA of Cygnus olor (mute swan), 454 nucleotides long. RefSeq lists it as uncharacterized. Lineage: Eukaryota; Metazoa; Chordata; Aves; Anseriformes; Anatidae. The record is from RefSeq and is a predicted model, not a curated record. The transcript has 2 exons.
UCAAACCAGGCACAGGAGAGGGACUGCCUGCAAGUGACAAUGCCGUAAGGGAACAAACACUGUUUGUUCUCAACUGACUGCACUUCCGCCUCCUCCCCUUUCAUUCAGGACUCGGUGCUAGCGAUGCUCCCUCCAUCUCCCUGACAUGCUGUUUGCAAGUACUUUUAUCUGAGGAAAGCAGGCUGGACAAAGCAUAUGAGCACACGUGGAGAGCCCUUCAGCAGCAGCAUCCUCUGAGGACUUCUGGAGGUCUUCCCCUGCUCUGGCUGACAGCAAUGGGACCAAGGGGAGACAGCAGCAGCCACUCUACAACAGGCUCUGCCAUGCACAGAAAGCCAGAGCAAAGUGGCAUGGCACCAGGGACAACAGAUCAUCUGCCUCACAUCUUCAGAAACAGGACAGCAUGACAGCCAGAAUAGAGUGCAGGACAGAGGCUGCUCAGGGCCUGGGUCCA